This 497-nucleotide ribosomal RNA is filed under the name uncultured bacterium. RNAcentral describes it as "partial 16S ribosomal RNA". It matches the Rfam family "Bacterial small subunit ribosomal RNA", at positions 28 to 507 of the family's 1533-position model. The record is from RNAcentral.
GAUGAACGCUGGCGGCGUGCCUAAUACAUGCGAGUCGAGCGAACGGACGAGAAGCUUGCUUUUCUGAUGUUAGCGGCGGACGGGUGAGUAACACGUGGAUAACCUACCUAUAAGACUGGGAUAACUUCGGGAAACCGGAGCUAAUACCGGAUAAUAUUUUGAACCGCAUGGUUCAAAAGUGAAAGACGGUCUUGCUGUCACUUAUAGAUGGAUCCGCGCUGCAUUAGCUAGUUGGUAAGGUAACGGCUUACCAAGGCAACGAUGCAUAGCCGACCUGAGAGGGUGAUCGGCCACACUGGAACUGAGACACGGUCCGGACUCCUACGGGAGGCAGCAGUAGGGAAUCUUCCGCAAUGGGCGAAAGCCUGACGGAGCAACGCCGCGUGAGUGAUGAAGGUCUUCGGAUCGUAAAACUCUGUUAUUAGGGAAGAACAUAUGUGUAAGUAACUGUGAACAUCUUGACGGUACCUAAUCAGAAAGCCACGGCUAACUACGUG